This 297-nucleotide ribosomal RNA is filed under the name uncultured Pseudomonadota bacterium. RNAcentral's name for it is "uncultured proteobacterium partial 16S ribosomal RNA". It matches the Rfam family "Bacterial small subunit ribosomal RNA", at positions 29 to 351 of the family's 1533-position model. The record is from RNAcentral. Lineage: Bacteria; Pseudomonadati; Pseudomonadota.
AGCGAACGCUGGCGGCAGGCUUAACACAUGCAAGUCGAGCGGGCGUAGCAAUACGUCAGCGGCAGACGGGUGAGUAACGCGUGGGAACGUACCUUUUGGUUCGGAACAACACAGGGAAACUUGUGCUAAUACCGGAUAAGCCCUUACGGGGAAAGAUUUAUCGCCGAAAGAUCGGCCCGCGUCUGAUUAGCUAGUUGGUGAGGUAACGGCUCACCAAGGCGACGAUCAGUAGCUGGUCUGAGAGGAUGAUCAGCCACAUUGGGACUGAGACACGGCCCAAACUCCUACGGGAGGCAG